This 456-nucleotide ribosomal RNA is filed under the name uncultured Erysipelotrichaceae bacterium. Its description in RNAcentral is "bacterial SSU rRNA". It matches the Rfam family "Bacterial small subunit ribosomal RNA", at positions 341 to 792 of the family's 1533-position model. Lineage: Bacteria; Bacillati; Bacillota; Erysipelotrichia; Erysipelotrichales; Erysipelotrichaceae. The record is from RNAcentral. RNAcentral also lists the same sequence under 1 other name.
ACGGGAGGCAGCAGUAGGGAAUUUUCGGCAAUGGGCGAAAGCCUGACCGAGCAAUGGUGCGUGGACGAUGAAGGCCUUCGGGUCGUAAAGUCCUUUUAUUUGGGAAGAACAUCCCCGGCCAAUACCCGGGGACUGACGGUACCUUUUGAAUAAGCUCCGGCCAACUAUGUGCCAGCAGCCGCGGUAAUACAUAGGGAGCGAGCGUUAUCCGGAAUUAUUGGGCGUAAAGAGUGCGUAGGCGGCUCGUUAUGUCGGUGGUGAAAUGCUGUGGCUCAACCCACAGUCUGCCUCCGAAACUGGCGAGCUGGAGUACGGUAGAGGCAAGUGGAAUUCCAUGUGUAGCGGUAAAAUGCGUAGAUAUAUGGAGGAACACCAGAGGCGAAGGCGGCUUGCUAGGCCGGUACUGACGCUGAUGCACGAAAGCGUGGGUAGCAAACAGGAUUAGAUACCCUGGUA